This 253-nucleotide ribosomal RNA is filed under the name uncultured bacterium. RNAcentral's name for it is "partial 16S ribosomal RNA". It matches the Rfam family "Bacterial small subunit ribosomal RNA", at positions 524 to 776 of the family's 1533-position model. The record is from RNAcentral.
UACGUAGGGACCGAGCGUUGUCCGGAUUCAUUGGGCGUAAAGAGCUCGUAGGCGGCUGCUCAAGUCGGAUGUGAAAACCCAGGGCUCAACCCUGGGCCUGCAUUCGAUACGGGCAGACUAGAGUUCGGUAGGGGAGACUGGAAUUCCUGGUGUAGCGGUGAAAUGCGCAGAUAUCAGGAGGAACACCGGUGGCGAAGGCGGGUCUCUGGGCCGAAACUGACGCUGAGGAGCGAAAGCGUGGGGAGCAAACAGG